This 2325-nucleotide long non-coding RNA is filed under the name Marmota monax (woodchuck). The record is from RNAcentral. Lineage: Eukaryota; Metazoa; Chordata; Mammalia; Rodentia; Sciuridae.
UAAUUUUAGGAGCCUCUAUCAUUGAAGCUGGGACCUCAGCAAGUUACAAAAAUAAUAAAGCAAAACUGUACUGGCAUGGGAUAGGAUUCCUAAAUUAUGAAAUGCCUCCAGAUAUUAUUCUUCAGGUAAAAGUGAAAUUAAGAAGAACCAAGUUCUAUUUGAUUUUAUGAUAAUUUAUCAUGAAAAUGUUAACAUUUAAAAUGGAGGCAGUUUGACAUUGUUCAAACUCAUUACACACCUGAAAUCUUCUUACAUUUUAAGUAAUUAUACUGCAUUAAUCCCUUCUUGUUUUAUAGUCAUUAAAUUAUCAUUGAUGACCAUAUGUGAUUUAGAGAUAAGUGAACUAGAUUAUUUGAUUCUCAAAUAGAAAAUAUAAAUUCCAUAUCUUUUAAAAGUUGAUUCUGUGGCCUCUUUUCCAUUGAAAAUUUCAGUUGUUCAGACAACAUUUAUCAAAAGUGCUUGUGUUCUCAAUUCUAGUGUUUUGAUAAAUGCUAUUCACAUCACAUGCUCUUAAGUCCAUUUACAACUAAAGCAAUAACCAAAUAAGAUUUCCACUGAAACUUUCAGAUACAUCCCAAAGGCAGUAGAUGUUAACAGACUGUAGGGCAUGUCUUAACUACAAUCCACAUAUCUGAAGUUGGUUUCAAAUUCAGAAGUACCUCCAGGGACAACUCUGAAUCUUAUUCCAAGCCUUAUUUUGGAUCUAGACAGUGAUACACACCUCAUUUUCCUUUACCAUCAUCAUCCCCUCAACCACCACAAUCAUUACUGCCACCACUGUCCUUAGCACUACCAUCUCCAUCACUACCAUGAUCACCAUCAUGUCACUUCCACCCACUCAUCAUUGACUCCUCAUUCACUACCAUCACCAUGAUCUCUACCACAUCUCUUCUGUUGCUACCAUUAUUAACCACCAUCACCAUCACCACUAUUACCGUGAUCAUUUCCACUAUUAUCACUGUGGUCAUUCCCAAAUUUACCACCGUCUCCAUUGUCCCAAUCAUGAUUACCAUCACCAUCACCAUCACCACCUCCACCACCAUCACUUCCACUGCUAUUAUUAUUACCACCAUCAUCACUACCACCACCACCACUACUGUCUUCAUUAGUGUCAUCAGCACUACCACCAUUCAUCCCCUUCAGCUGCCUUUUCGUAUUUCAAGGUCCAACUAGAGCAGUGAAAGAAACAUGCUCGGAUGAUAAAGAGCUCUGAUUAAUAGAAGAAUAAAGUACUCUGGAAAAAACAAUCAAACUUAGGGGGUAUCUUAGAAAUUUUUCUUUUGAUAUAUAUCUUGAACAAAGGAUCUGCAGUCAAUAGUGGUUAGUUCCCCUGUAUUCCAGGGUAGAUUUACAUACCCAAAGAAGAGAUUAAUUUGAUGUUUUCUUUCCAGCCAGAUGUCCAUCCUGGAAAAUGCUGGGCCUUUCCAGGUUCCCAGGGUCAUAUUCUAAUCAAGCUUGCCAGGAAAAUCACACCAACGGCUGUUACCAUGGAGCACAUUUCAGAGAAGGUGUCACCCUCAGGAAACAUCUCCAGUGCACCCAAGGAAUUUUCUGUCUAUGUGAGAAACUAUCUAAAUAUGUCAUUAAAAGCUGGAUUAUCAUAUUAAUGAUACAACUAACUAGUUGUAUUACUUAUUUCCUGGGCCUUGGUCUUAUUAUCCUCAAAGUGACAGGGUUAAACCAGAUGAUUUCUAUUCCUUAGUUUUAUUUUUUACUUUUAUCAGUUAUAUGUGACAAAAAGUUAUACAUGUCCAUAAAGUUUAUAUUAUCUCACUCUCCUUGUUCCCAAUUCUUUCCCACAGUUUUAGCUGUUUUGGAGGGUCCUUGUCUUCAUAUUUGCUUGUCCAUUAUUUCUUCAUUUUUCAAUUUUGGUUCUUAAUUAUUCAGUUUUGCUGACAUCCUCCAGUAGAAAAUGAAUUAUUAACUCUCUUCUGUGGGUUCCCCAUCAUCCUCCCAGGAUCUUUUUGUUAAAUUCACAUACCAUUUAGUUUACUCAUUUGAUGUGCACACUUCAGGAGCCUUUGGUAUAUAUACAAAAUCACAUACCUAUCACCACAAUCAACUUUAGAACAUUUUCACUACCCCCCAAAACAAUCUCCACAUGACUUAGCUGUCACCUCUAAUUCCCUCAUCACAAGCCCAGUCCUGACAACCACUAAUCUACUUUGUCUCCAUAAUUUUACCUAUUUUGGACAUUUUAUAUAAACAAAAUCAUAUUAAAUGUGGUCUUUAGUGAAUAAUGUUUUAAGGCUCAUCCAUGCUGUAAUGUGUCAAUAUUUGAUUACUUUUUAAAUUGCUGAAUAAUAUUUCAUUGUAUAAAUAAAC